Molecule: RNA transcript, 3768 nt
Organism: Mycetomoellerius zeteki
Lineage: Eukaryota; Metazoa; Arthropoda; Insecta; Hymenoptera; Formicidae
Exons: 4
Source: RefSeq, a predicted model, not a curated record
CGAUGUCAUCUCGCUUGUCACGAGCCAACGUCUGCUCGUUCAACUUCCUUCGGCAACUUCGGCCGACACGUCUCUUCCAGUUUCGUGAAAUUAUGCACCGCGUGAACACCAAAGUGCAUCUUGUCAUCGCGUUAUCUAUUAGUGACGAUUGCACCAUCGCACGUCCGCGUUCUCGGUGGAUUUCGUCGAGAAUGCAAAACGGCUUGUAGCUAACCUCCUGUUAUGACAAUGUCACGCGACACGAAGGCCAGUUGCAUAGAUUGCCAGGGACAUGCUGAAGUCUCCGUCGUCCCGUUCGUAUUGCCCUUCCCCGUCGACACGAUACGAGACGAGCUGAACGAACCGGAAAGAUCGGUCCGACCGGUGUCAAGUUUCGUCAUGACCACUUGUGCAUCCGAUACGGAUGAGGGAGAUUAUGAAACGUCUAGCGAAGGCAUGAUUCUUUCAAAACGCAGCGGCAACCGAAUUUACGGAAAACAAGCAAAAGAAUCACUUUACCUCAAGGAGAAAAGCAUUUCCUUAAGCAAACGCUCCGCAUUUGAUGGAAACGUAUCUACGAUAAAGAGAGAAGCUAUUUCCGAUCCGUUUCACGAAUUUAUGGAGAACAGGUUAACCCAAAAAACCACGUACGUUCGUGAUAAUCUUAUUUUGAUGUCUGAGAAUUUGGCACAGUCGAAAUCCUUGCCAAUCAUGAAGAGCGAAAUCCCGAGUAGCGUUUCCACAGAUUUUACAGCUACUGAUGUCGCGCUGACAUCUGCGUCGUCAUCCGCGCGUAAAAAGAAAAUGUCUAUGAUUAUCAAGAGGAUGGCGCCGCUUAUCUCUUCUUAUCCUUCGACAGUCUCGUUAACGACUGGCGCGACGACUAAUUUUUGUGAUCGACGAUACGAGACGAAACGACUCGUGUCGAGGACGAUGCUGCCGAUAUUUUGCGAUACGACGGUGAUUAAUGACGGGAGGUCAGAAGAGCUCGUAGCGGAAGUGACACUUCACGAAACGAAAAAUAACUGUCGCGCAAUGAAUUGGGAUCCACAGCGAGACGCAAUUCCGACGUUCGUCAAUGACGAAGGUGCUGCCAAUGUGACAAACGACCUCGUUGACAUCGCUAGGAAUCCAUACUCUUCCAUCAAGUCGGUCUACUUUCCACCGAAUUUUUCCGACCCUCUUGCUUUACCAUAUGAUUCUGGCAAAUCAAAGAGACACCAACGAGUGACCACCGAUGUGGAGACGCUACUGAAAAUAGAUCAUGAAUUGGGUCCACUUCGGUACCAAUAUAGCCAGAUUAUCGGGAAGGCUCGGACAUUGGGUCUGAGCGGUACAGGCAUCGACCUUGGCAUCUCCUGUCAUCUGGAUCAACCAGAAACGUUCGGCCAAUCUGUGCUGUCGCCAAGUACAUCCAAUUAUUUUCCUGAUCGCGGUCAGACGUAUCUGCGCCAAACCGCAAUCAACUCUGGCAUCAAGAAUCGAUCCGCUCUCGUCGAUAAAACCUCACCGACUUCGACUUUCUCCGUGGUCGGUAAACUGACUCCAAGAGGCUCUCGUACCAGCUGGUUAAAUGAAAACGACUCGAAUCGUCGACAGGAGGCGUUAAGUUUUGCCAUUCGCGAUUCCUCUCGCCUACUCAAAAACUUCGAUGGUUCUCGAUCUUCAAGUCGGGUCAAUAAUAGCAUAUCUUACUUCCCGAUGACCAAUAGCCAUACGUUUUACGGAGAAAAUGUUCUAGAUGACCGCUCUCGUAACGGAUGUGUUUCCAAUAGCAAUUUUCAACCCUAUCGCAAGUCUAAAACUGUAAUAGAUAGAGCCACUUUUGUAUUGGACGGUUGGUACGCUCGCGAAACGGUCAAUACAAAUCCUUCAAAUGUCUUUAGCAGAACAGAGUACAAUUCGCAUCGAUAUCUCAACCGGACUUUGAAAGAUUUGCAGACAUCUACCAGCAAUUCUUUUGAGAUCCGAAGACGAAAAUCUUCGGUGUCCAUUGUGGAAGUGAUCGAUAACAAUUGGCCCACUGUGAAUGAGGAAACAGCGAAUAAACGGUCGAACGAACAUUUCGAGAUUCCCUCAGGCAAUCGAGAUUCGAUGGUCGUUGAAACGGAAUUCGCCAGUCGCGGUAGCCAUUACCACAAAAGCAUCCUACCCGAAAUCGAACGCGUCACCAAAGACGAUCGAAUAUCCUCAUCAUUCGCAUUAAAAUCGAUCAAUCCUGGUGUAGAUUCCGAUCGUGACGUACUAGGGGUAGUAUCUGCGUCAGCUGACAUCCCUCAGAUUCGUGUCGUCAGCGUGAAUACAGAAUUUCGUGCCACUAUCGAAAAGCGUUACAUCAGCAGAGCCGUUAGUCCUAUUCAGCGUUCACGUUUGACGACCGCUUCGUCGACGACGACGUCACCAAGUAAUGUCUUACUCGCUAAGGUGUCCAGUAUUUUUGUGCAACAAGUGCGUCCUGAUUCCUCGAGAGAAGUAGCGAAGAUCGAGUCACCCGCGAAGAUAUGCUCCCAUGAUACUAACAAACGAAAUGUGCUUGCUGAUACGGUGAGCAAGCGCGAUUUUUGCGUUCAAAAAGUUGACUCUCGACUGGUUGGAGAAAAUAUACCGAGAUUUUCUGGAUUCAAAAGAGAUGAAGCAGAUUUGACAACGACAUCAGAAUUCAGAAAAGCGCAAUAUCUGCAUUUACCGAAGACAAAAGAAAAAAUCACGAUCGUUCCCAUCGUUAUCACCGAUGGAAUAUCGGAACCAUUGAGAUCUGCAGACGUAGAUUUUGCGAUUCCAAGGUACGCUGUUAAAACGGUACCAAAAUUGAACUAUCAAAUCGCACCGUUCAACGUGAGGAAAUUUCGUGAGACGUCAUCAUCAUUGAUUAGAGAUAAUAAAAGUUAUCAAAGAGUUAUCGCGGAUCCCAUGUGUUUAACCGAGGAGUUCGCGAAUGAAAAGCGCUGGAGAGCUGCUAACAGGACUUCUGUUUCUCAUGUUAAUCGUCAUCUGUGCACAGAAAAUUAUCCUCUUUCGACGACAACGAGCAUCACGGGAAACUCGAAGCAACCGAUUCGAGUUACGACUUCAAAUGCGAGAGUCGUCAGAAAGGCGCGAGAAUAUCGCUAUUCCAACAGACAGAGAGUCUCAAAAGCGAUAUCCGGUAUGAGAAGCACACCGGAAGAUUUCCUUUGUGAAACGUGACUUUGUGACCCGUGUGGCGCACGAAUGCGCUUAAACGUGCGUUUCGAGAAAGCGGCACUUUAGCGAGGAUACGAUAAGCUCACCUCCAGAAUUUCUCGAAGCCGAAACUCUUCAAGCGAAACUGAAAUCUGUCGCAAGCAGCGAGAAGGAAAACUAUGAAACGGAAAACGGGUUACGAAAUCUUCGUUGUCGAAGAAACAUCUUACACGGAUUUUCUAAAUGUAAAAAGACUGGCCAAUUCCCUGUGUCUCAGAAACGGACGAAAGGUCGCCAAGAAGAGGAUCGACGGGGAUGAAGCAAAGUCCGUUGCAGAAUUUUUUGCUUGCGGUUUAGACGCUUUCUGCAUGUAUAUUGGGAAGUUACUUUAGCUUUCACGUGCACGUUUUAAAAUACAAGACGCGCUGUAUAUACUGCUGUCGCAAAUCCAAGCAGCGAAUUAAUAGCAAAAACAUAUAUUAGUGGUAAAGUUACACAGCAUUUUAAUAGUUGCGAUGUAUACAUAGUUACUAUCGAUACAUAGAGAACGAUUGUAUUAUUCGGAAAAGUUUUAUUGAAGCGCAAAUAUUUGAUACAAAUUUUUUUGCGAAAUAUAGAAGCAGGAAA